UACGUAGGAGGCAAGCGUUAUCCGGAAUGACUGGGCGUAAAGGGUGCGUAGGUGGUUUGGCAAGUUAGUAGCGUAACUCCGGAGCUCAACUUCGGAACUACUCCUAAAACUGUCGGACUUGAGUGCAGGAGGGGCAACUGGAAUUCCUAGUGUAGCGGUGGAAUGCGUAGAUAUUAGGAGGAACACCAGUGGCGAAGGCGAGUUGCUGGACUGUAACUGACACUGAGGCACGAAAGCGUGGGGAGCAAACAGG
RNAcentral lists this ribosomal RNA (253 nucleotides) under uncultured bacterium. RNAcentral's name for it is "partial 16S ribosomal RNA". It matches the Rfam family "Bacterial small subunit ribosomal RNA", at positions 524 to 776 of the family's 1533-position model. The record is from RNAcentral.